GAAACGUUUUACAUGUGAGUCCUAAAACUGUAAACCGGAACCCUUCCAUAUGUGAUUCCCGAAACUGUAAAAGGAAACCGUUUCACAUGUGAGUCCUAAAACUAGAAACCAAACCGUUUCA
Long non-coding RNA from Cebus imitator (Panamanian white-faced capuchin), 121 nucleotides. RefSeq lists it as uncharacterized. NCBI's taxonomy places the organism in Eukaryota, Metazoa, Chordata, Mammalia, Primates, Cebidae. The transcript has 3 exons. The record is from RefSeq and is a predicted model, not a curated record.